Rattus norvegicus (Norway rat) is the source of this 412-nucleotide long non-coding RNA. NCBI's taxonomy places the organism in Eukaryota, Metazoa, Chordata, Mammalia, Rodentia, Muridae. The record is from Ensembl.
ACCCAAUGUUCAAACAUGUGAGCCUGUAGGAUAUACAUCACAGUUGGGCAGAAGGGCAGGAGAGCUCUAGAAUGAUCCUGAAUCUAGUCGGGUCCUAGAAGUUAUCCGAGCCCUGUGGUUUAUCUAGAAGGUCAAGACACAGAAGAGUUGGUCGCUGCUCCAGACCACAUAUGAGCCAAUUUCCCUGAACUGACAAAGGUGGAUCCUGCCCCCAUGAAAGUGUGUGGAGCAGCCAUGUGUCCUCAGACUACAGGGAGUAUAUCUCCCAGUCUGGUUUCUUUGGAGUCCUCCGUCCAGUCCUUGCUUGGACAGUCUAGGCAUCUGUAUGAACAGCUGAAUGCUACUCUUACCUCGGCAGUGGUAAGGAUUGUGACAUUGUGGAAUUCGUUAAACAGUCAGACCAAACAUCCAG